CCCCCCCCCCCCCCCCCCCCCCCCCCCCCCGCCAGGGUGGCAUUCUUGUGUGUGGCCUGUCUCCACAAACUGAGACACUUGGAGUGUUGCCAUUCAUACAGAGGCCUUGCUAAAGAGAAGUCGUUGAACAGGCUGUACUGAAGAUGGACCAGGCUGAGACCACACCUAACUACAUAACCAUCCUAGUAUAAAGAAUAUCGACGUAACAACCAAGGGUCAUCUUUCGGGCCCCACAGGUCUAGCCUGGCACGCCCUCCCAGUGACGUAGCCUGACACCUUCGGCGUUGCUGUGGCUGGUCUGACCAACAGCUCAUCGGGCAGGAUUUCUGAAUUCCCCAAAACUGCGGAACUGCCCCCUUUGGUCGAGAACCAAUCAACUUUGAGCAGCUCCAACGGCUCAGAAGAAAGAGUGUUGUUAUUGGUUUAAACUCGGCAAACCCCUUUCUGACAUCGACCAGUAGCAAAUCGAGGCACUUAAAGGAGGCGGGUCAACCAAGCGCUUGGAGAAACCGUUUAACACAGGCUCUUGGUCAGACUAAAGUCUCGCAGCGCCUUUCAAGUCGAUGGCAAUCAGGCUACCACAGGUCAGCUACAUCACUCAGCCAUUCCAUCUGGAUCCUCCCAAUGUGGGAAAACAUCGCCACCAGCUGGUCACCUCUGGAACAACACCACCUAAUGCUGAUCUGAUUUUUCCCUGGUCUUUUUUCUGCCCCUUUGCGUAUGUGCCUAGGUUUAGCUUAGUUUAAGAUUUUAAGUAGGGAUGUGCCUAAUCUGGGGUUAGCCCAGUUUAAGAUUUCCUUUCUCAACUGUUUAAAAAAAAAAAAAAAAAUUGAAAAAGCAACCAAAAAAUGGAGAGACAUACAGGUAAUUUGUAUAAUAAACAGAUUUCCCUGUCCACCAAAA
This is a long non-coding RNA of Sardina pilchardus (European sardine), 903 nucleotides long. RefSeq lists it as uncharacterized. Lineage: Eukaryota; Metazoa; Chordata; Actinopteri; Clupeiformes; Clupeidae. The transcript is spliced from 3 exons. The record is from RefSeq and is a predicted model, not a curated record.